GACGGAGGGCGCGAGCGUUGUUCGGAAUCACUGGGCGUAAAGCGCGCGCAGGCGGGACUAGCAAGUCGGAAGUGAAAUCCCGGGGCUCAACUCCGGGGCUGCUUCCGAGACUGCGGACCUGGAGACCGGUAGGGGCUGGUGGAAUUCCCGGUGUAGCGGUGGAAUGCGUAGAGAUCGGGAAGAACACCCGUGGCGAAGGCGGCCAGCUGGGCCGGUUCUGACGCUGAGGCGCGAAAGCGUGGGGAGCAAACAGG
RNAcentral lists this unclassified non-coding RNA (254 nucleotides) under uncultured Gemmatimonadota bacterium. RNAcentral describes it as "uncultured Gemmatimonadetes bacterium contains 16S-23S intergenic spacer region". It matches the Rfam family "Bacterial small subunit ribosomal RNA", at positions 524 to 776 of the family's 1533-position model. Lineage: Bacteria; Pseudomonadati; Gemmatimonadota. The record is from RNAcentral.